This 301-nucleotide ribosomal RNA is filed under the name uncultured bacterium. RNAcentral describes it as "partial 16S ribosomal RNA". It matches the Rfam family "Bacterial small subunit ribosomal RNA", at positions 509 to 807 of the family's 1533-position model. The record is from RNAcentral.
CAGCAGCCGCGGGAAUACGUAGGGUGCGAGCGUUGAUCGGAAUUACUGGGCGUAAAGCGUGCGCAGGCGGUUCGUUAAGACAGAUGUGAAAUCCCCGGGCUUAACCUGGGAACUGCAUUUGUGACUGACGGGCUAGAGUAUGGCAGAGGGGGGUAGAAUUCCACGUGUAGCAGUGAAAUGCGUAGAGAUGUGGAGGAAUACCGAUGGCGAAGGCAGCCCCCUGGGCCAAUACUGACGCUCAUGCACGAAAGCGUGGGGAGCAAACAGGAUUAGAUACCCCCGUAGUCCCUGUCUCUUAUAC